UACAGAGGUCCCAAGCGUUACUGAGAAUCACUGGGUUUAAAGGGUGCGUAGGUGGUCCGUUAAGUCAGUUGUGAAAUCCCCGGGCUCAACCCGGGAACUGCUUCUGAUACUGGCGGACUUGAGGCCAGUAGGGGUCACUAGAACUGACGGUGGAGCGGUGAAAUGCGUAGAUAUCGGGAGGAACACCUGUGGCGAAAGCGGCGCACUGGACCAUAACUGACGCUGAGGCGCGAAAGCUAGGGGAGCAAACAGG
Molecule: ribosomal RNA, 253 nt
Filed under: uncultured bacterium
Lineage: Bacteria
Description: partial 16S ribosomal RNA
Rfam family: Bacterial small subunit ribosomal RNA
Source: RNAcentral